RNAcentral lists this transfer RNA (76 nucleotides) under Synechococcaceae bacterium WB6_1A_059. RNAcentral's name for it is "tRNA-Phe". It matches the Rfam family "tRNA". From Rfam's summary of the family: Transfer RNA (tRNA) molecules are approximately 80 nucleotides in length. Their secondary structure includes four short double-helical elements and three loops (D, anti-codon, and T loops). Lineage: Bacteria; Bacillati; Cyanobacteriota; Cyanophyceae; Synechococcales; Synechococcaceae. The record is from RNAcentral.
GCCGCUUUAGCAAAUGUGGUCAUUGCGGACGCCUGAAGAGCGUUGGAACCUGGUUCGAUCCCAGGAGGCGGCCCCA